CUGUUCGACGCUUCCAAUCUCUUCCCUCGUCGCGGAGACAUCGCUUAAUAAAUAUAAAGCAGCACGUUGCCCGGAGGUGGUCCACUAUCCUGUCGCAUCUCACAACUGGUCCCUCGCCAGUCUUCCUCUUAAUUAUUCCCCGUGGACAGAUAGUCAUCAAUUUGAGGUUAGGAUCAAGACUACAUAAUGAACGCAAGGUUUGGCAGAGACGUGGAACUGUAGCGGCGCACACCACAAGCACCGCUGGAAGAAACAAAAGAAGGAAGGUGGUGGCCGUGGGCCCUUUGAUGCGUUUGGCCUUCGGAACUCUGCGUGGAUCGGACGUGGACAGAAAGAGGUCGGCAUAGAUCUGAUGCGAUGAGCGCCGCUGAACUAUAAUAUUAAUGAUGACUGGCUUGCCCCCUUAGAGGAGCCUAUCUAUUUCGUUCUGUCCCGGACUGUCUUGUUCUACUGGGAUGCAAUUUCUCGAUAAUUCUUCGAGUCCUCCUGUGGCCAGCUCGCCGAUUCGCCGGCUCGUGCUCGUUAAUAUUAAUAAGCUGCUUAAUAUUAAUAUUGAUAAGUCUGUUAAUAGCGAUGGGUAUCGGUGACGUGGAUACCGUAAGGUUAAUAGUAGUCUGCCAUUUUUUCACGCAUCUGAUCGAGCUAGCUUAUUCAGCAUGAUUUCGUGUUACUUUACUCGACUACUGGGACUGGUUUCUGGAAUCUAUUUAGUCAGAAUGAAGCGGAGUGUAUCGAAUUGCGAAUACAGGGUAAAUAGCGAAGCUUGAGAUUUGUAAAACUCUUCAAUGGAAUUUAGAGGAUAUCUCAUAGGAGAAAC
This 817-nucleotide unclassified non-coding RNA is filed under the name Bombus terrestris (buff-tailed bumblebee). Its description in RNAcentral is "misc RNA ENSBTSG00005024214.1". Lineage: Eukaryota; Metazoa; Arthropoda; Insecta; Hymenoptera; Apidae. The record is from RNAcentral.